RNAcentral lists this ribosomal RNA (254 nucleotides) under uncultured bacterium. Its description in RNAcentral is "partial 16S ribosomal RNA". It matches the Rfam family "Bacterial small subunit ribosomal RNA", at positions 524 to 776 of the family's 1533-position model. The record is from RNAcentral.
UACGUAGGGGGCAAGCGUUGUCCGGAUUUAUUGGGCGUAAAGAGCUCGUAGGCGGUUUCGUAAGUCGGGUGUGAAAACUCUAGGCUCAACCUAGAGACGCCACCCGAUACUGCGAUGACUAGAGUCCGGUAGGGGAGCGUGGAAUUCCUGGUGUAGCGGUGAAAUGCGCAGAUAUCAGGAGGAACACCAACGGCGAAGGCAGCACUCUGGGCCGGAACUGACGCUGAGGAGCGAAAGCGUGGGUAGCGAACAGG